CGAGUGUUAGUCUACAUGGCACGGCCUCUUGACGUGAUAAUGAUCGUCGUGGGCUGGAAGUGUAGUGUCUGGCUUCUAAUCAUUGAUUGCGUGCAUACGGCCCAUAAAGCUGGAAGCGCAACAAACCACGACUUACGUGCAAGCGUAGUUCGAAAUUGACAUUUGACCUCAAAUCAGGUAGGACUACCCGCUGAACUUAA
RNAcentral lists this unclassified non-coding RNA (200 nucleotides) under soil metagenome. RNAcentral's name for it is "partial contains internal transcribed spacer 2 and large subunit ribosomal RNA". The record is from RNAcentral.